CGAGGUAUGCUGAGAUUGUAAUGAUGAUUCUUGGGGAUACUGUGGUUGAGGCCGAGGAUGAGGUUGCGAUUGAGGUUGAUGCAGAGACUGGGCCUGAGGUUGGGCCUGGGCCUGGAACUGGGCUUGGGUUGGGGUUUGAAAUUGGUGAUGAUAUUGAGGUUGGGACUGAGGUUGGGCUGCGGAUUGAAAUUGAGGACGAAACUGAGGUUGUGACUGAGAUUGAGGUUGGGGUUGGGGCUGAGCCUGAGCCCAAGGAGCUACAUAACUGUUAAAGCUCUGAUCUUGAUAUCCAAGAUAAGCUUGAGAUGCAUAUGGAU
Molecule: long non-coding RNA, 317 nt
Filed under: Nicotiana tabacum (common tobacco)
Lineage: Eukaryota; Viridiplantae; Streptophyta; Magnoliopsida; Solanales; Solanaceae
Description: long non-coding RNA (NTAB_LNC000942)
Source: RNAcentral